Varanus komodoensis (Komodo dragon) is the source of this 81-nucleotide small nucleolar RNA. The record is from Ensembl. NCBI's taxonomy places the organism in Eukaryota, Metazoa, Chordata, Lepidosauria, Squamata, Varanidae.
AGGAUGCAAAUGAUGACAGCAUAGUUCAGCAGACAAUCUGUGACGAAUGCUAAUGUCUUUCGCUCCUAUCUGAUGCAUACU